RNAcentral lists this ribosomal RNA (635 nucleotides) under Lacticaseibacillus paracasei. Its description in RNAcentral is "bacterial SSU rRNA". It matches the Rfam family "Bacterial small subunit ribosomal RNA", at positions 371 to 996 of the family's 1533-position model. The record is from RNAcentral. Lineage: Bacteria; Bacillati; Bacillota; Bacilli; Lactobacillales; Lactobacillaceae.
AUGGACGCAAGUCUGAUGGAGCAACGCCGCGUGAGUGAAGAAGGCUUUCGGGUCGUAAAACUCUGUUGUUGGAGAAGAAUGGUCGGCAGAGUAACUGUUGUCGGCGUGACGGUAUCCAACCAGAAAGCCACGGCUAACUACGUGCCAGCAGCCGCGGUAAUACGUAGGUGGCAAGCGUUAUCCGGAUUUAUUGGGCGUAAAGCGAGCGCAGGCGGUUUUUUAAGUCUGAUGUGAAAGCCCUCGGCUUAACCGAGGAAGCGCAUCGGAAACUGGGAAACUUGAGUGCAGAAGAGGACAGUGGAACUCCAUGUGUAGCGGUGAAAUGCGUAGAUAUAUGGAAGAACACCAGUGGCGAAGGCGGCUGUCUGGUCUGUAACUGACGCUGAGGCUCGAAAGCAUGGGUAGCGAACAGGAUUAGGAUACCCUGGUAGUCCAUGCCGUAAACGAUGAAUGCUAGGUGUCGGAGGGUUUCCGCCCUUCAGUGCCGCAGCUAACGCAUUAAGCAUUCCGCCUGGGGAGUACGACCGCAAGGUUGAAACUCAAAGGAAUUGACGGGGGCCCGCACAAGCCGUGGAGCAUGUGGUUUAAUUCGAAGCAACGCGAAGAACCUUACCAGGUCUUGACAUCUUUUGAUC